CCUUCUUCUUCUCCAGGAGCUACUUCCUUAUCUUCAUCCAGGGACCUAGGAUUGCCGCCACGUCGCCUAAGGGAUCCUCUUUUGUGCAGGAAUCGCCUUCACCACAGACUCAACAGACCUCUGUCUGUGCCACACCCUCCUGAAGCAUGUGACACACACCCCACCCAGCACCUUAUCCCAGAGAGGGGAGGGAAGAAGUGCUCCUCAUUGGGCUGCUGAGAGGGGCAGGGAGAAGGUAAGGAAUGUCCUCAGCCACAUGGAGAGGGGGAAUGGUGAUACUGCCUCUUGCGUGACAGAGAGAGAGAGAGAGAGAGAGAGAGAGAGAGAGAGAGAGAGAGAA
This 340-nucleotide long non-coding RNA is filed under the name Monodelphis domestica (gray short-tailed opossum). RNAcentral describes it as "lncRNA (ENSMODG00000036684.1)". The record is from RNAcentral. Lineage: Eukaryota; Metazoa; Chordata; Mammalia; Didelphimorphia; Didelphidae.